RNAcentral lists this ribosomal RNA (482 nucleotides) under uncultured bacterium. Its description in RNAcentral is "partial 16S ribosomal RNA". It matches the Rfam family "Bacterial small subunit ribosomal RNA", at positions 30 to 507 of the family's 1533-position model. The record is from RNAcentral.
AUUGAACGCUGGCGGCAUGCCUUACACAUGCAAGUCGAACGGUAACGGGCCUUCGGGUGCCGACGAGUGGCGAACGGGUGGGUAAUACAUCGGAACGUGCCCGAUCGUGGGGGAUAACGAGGCGAAAGCUUUGCUAAUACCGCAUACGAUCUACGGAUGAAAGCAGGGGACCGCAAGGCCUUGCGCGGACGGAGCGGCCGAUGGCAGAUUAGGUAGUUGGUGGGAUAAAAGCUUACCAAGCCGACGAUCUGUAGCUGGUCUGAGAGGAUGAUCAGCCACACUGGGACUGAGACACGGCCCAGACUCCUACGGGAGGCAGCAGUGGGGAAUUUUGGACAAUGGGCGCAAGCCUGAUCCAGCCAUGCCGCGUGCAGGAUGAAGGCCUUCGGGUUGUAAACUGCUUUUGUACGGAACGAAAAGCCUUCUUUUAAUACAGGAGGGUCAUGACGGUACCGUAAGAAUAAGCACCGGCUAACUACGUG